AACGUAGGUGGCGAGCGUUAUCCGGAUUUACUGGGCGUAAAGCGUGUGCAGGCGGCUGCCCAAGUGGUGUAUGAAAUAUCCAGGCUCAACCUGGAGGGGUUAUGCCAGACUGGGUAGCUAGAGUGCGAGAGAGGUGCGUGGAAUUCCCGGUGUAGCGGUGAAAUGCGUAGAUAUCGGAAGGAACGCCGGUGGCGAAAGCGACGUGCUGGACACCUUCUGACGCUGAGGCGCGAAAGCCAGGGGAGCAAACGGG
Molecule: ribosomal RNA, 253 nt
Filed under: uncultured prokaryote
Description: partial 16S ribosomal RNA
Rfam family: Bacterial small subunit ribosomal RNA
Source: RNAcentral